Rattus norvegicus (Norway rat) is the source of this 69-nucleotide non-coding RNA. Lineage: Eukaryota; Metazoa; Chordata; Mammalia; Rodentia; Muridae. The record is from Rfam.
GGAGAUUUAGUUCAGUGGUAGAGCACUUGCCUAGCAAGCACAAGGCCCUGGGUUCGGUUUCCAGCUCCG